GCCUGGGUGGCUCAGUCGGUUGAGCGUCUGACUUCGGCUCAGGUCAUGAUCUCACGGUUUGUGGGUUCGAGCCCCACAUCAGGCU
This 85-nucleotide transfer RNA is filed under the name Felis catus (domestic cat). It matches the Rfam family "tRNA". Rfam says of the family: Transfer RNA (tRNA) molecules are approximately 80 nucleotides in length. Their secondary structure includes four short double-helical elements and three loops (D, anti-codon, and T loops). RNAcentral also lists the same sequence under 1 other name. Lineage: Eukaryota; Metazoa; Chordata; Mammalia; Carnivora; Felidae. The record is from Rfam by way of RNAcentral.